UAGAGCAGCUGGUAGCUCGUCGGGCUCAUAACCCGAAGGUCGCAGGUUCAAAUCCUGC
This 58-nucleotide transfer RNA is filed under the name Thermosinus thermophiluss DSM 23256. Its description in RNAcentral is "Sporolituus thermophilus DSM 23256 tRNA_Met_CAT". It matches the Rfam family "tRNA", at positions 8 to 63 of the family's 71-position model. From Rfam's summary of the family: Transfer RNA (tRNA) molecules are approximately 80 nucleotides in length. Lineage: Bacteria; Bacillati; Bacillota; Negativicutes; Selenomonadales; Sporomusaceae. The record is from RNAcentral.